GGGAAUGUAGCUCAGUGGCACAGUGCCUGCCUGGCAAGCAGCAGACCCUGAGUUCGAUUCUCAGUACCA
This 69-nucleotide transfer RNA is filed under the name Heterocephalus glaber (naked mole-rat). It matches the Rfam family "tRNA". Rfam says of the family: Transfer RNA (tRNA) molecules are approximately 80 nucleotides in length. Their secondary structure includes four short double-helical elements and three loops (D, anti-codon, and T loops). The record is from Rfam by way of RNAcentral. Lineage: Eukaryota; Metazoa; Chordata; Mammalia; Rodentia; Bathyergidae.